ACGCACGCUGGCGGCGUGCUUAACACCUGCACGUCGCACGGAAAGGCCCUGCUUUUGUGGGGUGCUCGAGUGGCGAACGGGUGAGUAACACGUGAGUAACCUGCCCUUGACUUUGGGAUAACUUCAGGAAACUGGGGCUAAUACCGGAUAGGAGCUCCUGCUGCAUGGUGGGGGUUGGAAAGUUUCGGCGGUUGGGGAUGGACUCGCGGCUUAUCAGCUUGUUGGUGGGGUAGUGGCUUACCAAGGCUUUGACGGGUAGCCGGCCUGAGAGGGUGACCGGCCACAUUGGGACUGAGAUACGGCCCAGACUCCUACGGGAGGCAGCAGUGGGGAAUAUUGCACAAUGGGCGGAAGCCUGAUGCAGCAACGCCGCGUGCGGGAUGACGGCCUUCGGGUUGUAAACCGCUUUCGCCUGUGACGAAGCGUGAGUGACGGUAAUGGGUAAAGAAGCACCGGCUAACUACGUG
This 467-nucleotide ribosomal RNA is filed under the name uncultured bacterium. Its description in RNAcentral is "partial 16S ribosomal RNA". It matches the Rfam family "Bacterial small subunit ribosomal RNA", at positions 29 to 507 of the family's 1533-position model. The record is from RNAcentral.